RNAcentral lists this long non-coding RNA (1489 nucleotides) under Homo sapiens (human). RNAcentral describes it as "HSALNT0065820". Lineage: Eukaryota; Metazoa; Chordata; Mammalia; Primates; Hominidae. The record is from RNAcentral.
CUUUUUUCGCAGGAGCUGCCCUACACUUUGCACAGACCUGGGCUCUUCCCAGAUUACCUCAUCAACAUCUUUACAAGCCAACUCAGAGAGUGCAGCAACCCUGUAGAUGGACUGCUUCACCCAGUGCUGCUGGUUCUUAUGGCUGUCACUCCCAAUGGGUAGUUUUAUUGCCAAAUUCCAUCAUAAGCAGUACUACCCAUACCCUGACCAAAGAAGGAAAGGGGAAUUAACACGACCACCUGCCUACUGAAUGCCAGGCGCUGUGCUAAAUGUGAGGUCCAGUCUAAUUCCCCUCCCCAGGAAGAGGGAUGAGCCUUUGUGGCUGCCUCCAUAAAUGAAAAUGCGAUGGAAAGGAUGCUGCACGACUUAUGAGGCUAAGUCAUAAGAAGAACUAAAGCUUCUACCCAUUUCCACUUCCUUUUGGGAAACGUGUCUUGGGAGCCCUGAGCCAAUAUGUAAGAAGUCCAGCUAUGUAUAGCCACCAUGCUGCAGAAACCACACAGAGAUAAAGAUUCGUGAGGAGUCUCCCCAUUUCCAGUUCCCAGCUGCUUGAGUCCUCCCACCUCCCAGAAUGAACUGUCAGACAUGUGAGUAGAAAUGACUCCAGACCCAGCCUUCAAGCUGUUGUCCCAGCUGACACCAAGUAGAGCAAAGGAGUUGUCUCCAUCAGUCUAGCUCAUAUUGCAGAUUUGUGAGAAAAAAACAAAUGUUGCUGCGUUAAGCCAGUAAAUGCUAGGAUAAUUUGUUAUAUGACAAUGACAAGAGUAACCAGGACACCACCCUUGUGUUAUCAUUACGUUCUCCCCUUGCUUCUUGUGAUGCCCUUGCUUUUCUUCUCUACCAGUUGCUGAGAAUUAGAGGAAGACCUUUGCUCCCACCAAUGUCAACAUUUCUUUACCAGAAAACACAGAGGCAUUUAACUCAUAUUUCGAAGACUUACAGCUUCUUAUAAUGGCCCUGGUGGUUAUACUUUUUGUUCUACUGACUCUAUUUUGUUACAGUUACUCUGCCCACAAAGUGCAAGACCCUUUGUGAUUAUGUUGGGGGACAUCAAUUCAAAUGACACCGUGAUAGCAUUACUGUCAAAUCAUGCUUCCCUCUCAAUGCUGUUGAUGAAGCUGGUGUACCCCAACCCUGUUCUUACAGGUUAAGUUGCUUUUUCCCACUUGAAACAUUGUACAACAGCCAAAAGCUUAUCUGGUCAGUUUUAAUGCGUCCUGCCCCUUCCUAGGACUUAUUGCAAUGACAAACAUAUAAGAGCUGUGAAAACUCUGUGACUUACACACAGUAGGCACCUGGUGUUUUAAGUGCUCUUCCUGAAAUGCUCACUGACAAUAAAACUAUUGAACAGAUCAGGACUGAAAACAUAGCUUUGUUUUGUGCCAGCAAAGACUCUCUUCUCUCCUUUACAGGUUGACAUUGAGCCAUUAAUCAACAGUAUGUUCAACAGUAACUAGUGAGUUAUGAAUCCAACUAUGUGCCUCUAUUU